RNAcentral lists this transfer RNA (65 nucleotides) under Mimeutermes sorex. RNAcentral's name for it is "tRNA-Ala". Lineage: Eukaryota; Metazoa; Arthropoda; Insecta; Blattodea; Termitidae. The record is from RNAcentral.
GGGACUAUAGUUAACAAUAACACUUGAGUUGCAUUCAAGAAGUACUACCCAGAUAGUUGGUCUCA